This 211-nucleotide long non-coding RNA is filed under the name Lathyrus oleraceus (garden pea). RNAcentral describes it as "Pisum sativum (pea) long non-coding RNA (PSAT_LNC017314)". The record is from RNAcentral. Lineage: Eukaryota; Viridiplantae; Streptophyta; Magnoliopsida; Fabales; Fabaceae.
AAAAAUAUUAAAAAUCAUUUUUAGAAACUAUAAUUAAAAAGAGAAAUAAUGCAAUUAGUCCCAUAUUUUUAAGAAUUAAAAUGAAAGAGUUAUGGAUUUUUGAAUUAAAAUGAAAUAAAAGAAAAUAAACAGAAAUUAAAUCAGAAAAUAGAAAAUGGAAAAAGAUCUGGCGCGUUGGAUCAACCUCAUUAGAUGAGGUGGCACAUCCAAG